CACCUUCUUCGACCCAGCCGGGGGAGGGGACCCUAUUCUAUACCAACACCUAUUCUGAUUUUUUGGCCACCCCGAAGUUUAUAUUCUUAUCCUGCCAGGCUUCGGAAUAAUUUCCCAUAUUGUAACUUACUACUCCGGAAAAAAAGAACCAUUCGGAUAUAUAGGUAUGGUCUGAGCUAUAAUAUCAAUUGGUUUCUUAGGGUUUAUUGUGUGAGCACACCAUAUAUUUACAGUAGGAAUGGACGUAGACACACGAGCCUAUUUCACCUCCGCUACCAUAAUCAUCGCUAUUCCCACCAGCGUCAAAGUAUUUAGCUGACUCGCUACACUCUACGGAAGCAAUAUGAAGUGAUCUGCUGCAGUACUCUGAGCCCUAGGGUUCAUUUUUCUCUUCACUGUAGGUGGCCUAACCGGCAUUGUACUAGCAAACUCAUCAUUAGACAUCGUACUACACGACACAUACUACGUCGUAGCUCACUUCCAUUACGUCCUAUCAAUAGGAGCUGUAUUCGCCAUCACAGGAGGUUUCAUUCACUGAUUUCCCCUGUUCUCAGGCUAUACCCUAGACCAAACCUACGCCAAAUCCAUUUUGCUAUCAUAUUCAUUGGCGUAAACCUAACCUUCUUCCCACAACACUUUCUUGGCCUAUCUGGAAUACCCCGACGUUACUCGGACUACCCCGAUGCAUACACCACAUGA
This 699-nucleotide long non-coding RNA is filed under the name Homo sapiens (human). RNAcentral describes it as "non-protein coding lnc-PRR32-4:1". Lineage: Eukaryota; Metazoa; Chordata; Mammalia; Primates; Hominidae. The record is from RNAcentral.